GAGUUUGAUCCUGGCUCAGAACGAACGCUGGCGGCGUGCCUAACACAUGCAAGUCCAACGUGAAAGGGGAGCAAUCCCCCGGUAGGGUGGCAAACGGGUGAGUAAUACAUGGGUGAUCUACCUUAGGGAUGGGGAUAUCCUUCCGAAAGGAGGGGCAAUACCGAAUAUUGUCCGGAGCCGUGAAGGGUUCCGGGGAAAGGGAGGCCUCUGAUACAAGCUUUCGCCUUAAGAUGAGCCCAUGGCCCAUCAGCUAGUUGGUAGGGUAAAGGCCUACCAAGGCUACGACGGGUCGCUGGUCUGAGAGGACGACCAGCCACACUGGCACUGAGAUACGGGCCAGACUCCUACGGGAGGCAGCAGUGAGGAAUAUUGCGCAAUGGGGGAAACCCUGACGCAGCAACGCCGCGUGUGGGAAGAAGGCCUUCGGGUCGUAAACCACUUUUGCACGGGACGAAAAAGGGAUAUCGAACAAAUAUCCCCGAUGACGGUACCGUGAGAAUAAGCCACGGCUAACUCUGUGCCAGCAGCCGCGGUAAGACAGAGGUGGCAAGCGUUGUUCGGAAUUACUGGGCGUAAAGAGUCUGUAGGUGGUUUGUCAAGUCUUUGGUGAAAGGCCGUAGCUUAACUAUGGGAAUGCCAAAGAGACUGGCAGGCUGGAGGCUGGGAGAGGGAAGCGGAAUUUCUGGUGUAGCGGUGAAAUGCGUAGAUAUCAGAAGGAAGGCCGGUGGCGAAGGCGGCUUCCUGGAACAGUCCUGACA
RNAcentral lists this ribosomal RNA (758 nucleotides) under uncultured bacterium. RNAcentral describes it as "bacterial SSU rRNA". It matches the Rfam family "Bacterial small subunit ribosomal RNA", at positions 9 to 745 of the family's 1533-position model. The record is from RNAcentral.